RNAcentral lists this long non-coding RNA (289 nucleotides) under Pan troglodytes (chimpanzee). RNAcentral's name for it is "long non-coding RNA NONPTRT003049". Lineage: Eukaryota; Metazoa; Chordata; Mammalia; Primates; Hominidae. The record is from RNAcentral.
GGCAAAAAAGCAUUUGCUUCGAAAGCCCCAUCAAGAGGAAAAUCUUUCUACUGCCAGAGGGACUCUUCUGGGAAGCCUGAGUGGAGAGAGAGAAUGGGCAAGGGGUCAUCGAUGGACCGGAGAUGGGAUGGUAGGGACGGAAACUGCAGGGUCCGCAGAAGGAACUGCUCACCGAAAGCCAACAAGCUUGCCCUGUGGAAUCCCAGAAAGGCCCAGGAACUUCGGGACAUCACUGAAGGCAGAGUGAAGAGAGGUAAGUGCAAGUCCAGAUGAAUGAGUGAUGAUGUUC